GACGAACGCUGGCGGCGUGCCUAAUACAUGCAGGUCGAACGCAAAACUUUCACCGAAUGCUUGCAUUCACGAAAGUUUUGAGUGGCGAACGGGUGAGUAACACGUGGGUAACCUGCCCAGAAGAGGGGGAUAACACUUGGAAACAGGUGCUAAUACCGCAUAAUAACAAAAACCGCAUGGUUUUUGUUUGAAAGAUGGUUUUGCUAUCAUUUCUGGAUGGACCCCGCGGCGUAUUAG
This 237-nucleotide ribosomal RNA is filed under the name uncultured bacterium. RNAcentral's name for it is "partial 16S ribosomal RNA". It matches the Rfam family "Bacterial small subunit ribosomal RNA", at positions 28 to 244 of the family's 1533-position model. The record is from RNAcentral.